RNAcentral lists this ribosomal RNA (407 nucleotides) under Hemibracon sp. Its description in RNAcentral is "partial 16S ribosomal RNA". The record is from RNAcentral. Lineage: Eukaryota; Metazoa; Arthropoda; Insecta; Hymenoptera; Braconidae.
GUCUUUAAGAUAUUAAUUUAAAGUCUAAUCUGCCCCCUGAAGAAUUAAAUGGCUGCAGGAUUUUUACUGUACUAAGGUAGCAUAAUAAUUUGUUUUUUAAUUAAAAACUAGAAUGAAAGAUUGAUUGAAAUAUAAGCUGUUUCAGUUAAAUAUUUAUUAAAUUUUUUAUUUAAGUAAAAAAACUUAAAUUUAUAUUAAAGACGAUAAGACCCUAUAGAAUUUUAUUUAAUUAUUAUUAUAUAAUAAUAAUUAAAUUUUAUUGGGGUAAUAAAAAAAUUAAAAUAAUUUUUUUUAAAAAAAAUAUUUUUAAGUAAAUUAUAUAUCUUAAUUUUUAAAAUUAAUAAUUAAUUACCUUAGGGAUAACAGCAUAAUUUUUUUUAAAAGAUCAUAUUAAUAAAAAAGAUUAU